AUUGAACGCUGGCGGCAGGCCUAACACAUGCAAGUCGAGCGGAUGAAGGGAGCUUGCUCCUGGAUUCAGCGGCGGACGGGUGAGUAAUGCCUAGGAAUCUGCCUGGUAGUGGGGGAUAACGUCCGGAAACGGGCGCUAAUACCGCAUACGUCCUGAGGGAGAAAGUGGGGGAGCUUCGGACCUCACGCUAUCAGAUGAGCCUAGGUCGGAUUAGCUAGUUGGUGGGGUAAAGGCCUACCAAGGCGACGAUCCGUAACUGGUCUGAGAGGAUGAUCAGUCACCCUGGAACUGAGACACGGUCCAUACUCCUACGGGAGGCAGCAGUGGGGAAUAUUGGGCAGUGGGCGAAAGCCUUAUCCAGCCAUGCCGCGUGUGUGAAGAAGGUCUUCGGAUUGUAAAGCACUUUAAGUUGGGAGGAAGGGCAGUAAGUUAAUACCUUGCUGUUUUGACGUUACCAACAGAAUAAGCACCGGCUAACUUCGUG
Molecule: ribosomal RNA, 484 nt
Filed under: uncultured bacterium
Lineage: Bacteria
Description: partial 16S ribosomal RNA
Rfam family: Bacterial small subunit ribosomal RNA
Source: RNAcentral